RNAcentral lists this non-coding RNA (177 nucleotides) under Candidatus Cloacimonadota bacterium. RNAcentral's name for it is "6S RNA". It matches the Rfam family "6S / SsrS RNA". From Rfam's summary of the family: E. coli 6S RNA was the first non coding RNA to be sequenced, but its function was unknown until recently. It consists of 184 nucleotides that fold into an extended hairpin structure with a large single-stranded internal bulge. The 6S RNA specifically associates with RNA polymerase holoenzyme containing the sigma70 specificity factor. The record is from RNAcentral. Lineage: Bacteria; Pseudomonadati; Candidatus Cloacimonadota.
CUUUGCCUGUUCUGUUCGUGAUUUCAAUGUUGUUUUGGGCUAAACACAGAAGAGAAGGAAUUUGAUUGGAUACGGCGCAAAUGCCUUCAUUGCAGUUGGACUUGUAAAGUAUUCAUAAAAUUCCAAAAUUUAAAAAUUCGCUUCAAACGAAUUGUUACACGGCAGAACGGGUUUCUU